This 163-nucleotide ribosomal RNA is filed under the name Macrocarpaea domingensis. RNAcentral describes it as "5.8S ribosomal RNA". It matches the Rfam family "5.8S ribosomal RNA". From Rfam's summary of the family: 5.8S ribosomal RNA (5.8S rRNA) is a component of the large subunit of the eukaryotic ribosome. It is transcribed by RNA polymerase I as part of the 45S precursor that also contains 18S and 28S rRNA. Lineage: Eukaryota; Viridiplantae; Streptophyta; Magnoliopsida; Gentianales; Gentianaceae. The record is from RNAcentral.
AAAACGACUCUCGGCAACGGAUAUCUCGGCUCUCGCAUCGAUGAAGAACGUAGCGAACUGCGAUACUUGGUGUGAAUUGCAGACUCCCGUGAACCAUCGAGUCUUUGAACGCAAGUUGCGCCCGAAGCCAUUAGGCCGAGGGCACGUCUGCCUGGGCGUCACG